This 419-nucleotide unclassified non-coding RNA is filed under the name fungal sp. RNAcentral describes it as "partial internal transcribed spacer region". The stretch from base 1 to 46 matches the Rfam family "Eukaryotic small subunit ribosomal RNA", at positions 1786 to 1831 of the family's 1831-position model. The record is from RNAcentral. Lineage: Eukaryota; Fungi.
AAGUCGUAACAAGGUUUCCGUAGGUGAACCUGCGGAAGGAUCAUUAACACGUAUCCACAUUUAAACUCAAACCACCACGAACUGUGCUCCCUGGCCUUCCAACUUCUCUUGCUGUCCGAUGUGGGUUGUAAUGGGUUGCAAUCGGUUUUUCGACCCUCGGGUUGGGCCUUCGAUUGUAACAUACUCAUGUCCGACUAUCACUCCACCGAGAGUGAGGCGGAGAGACCGGAUCGCUGGGCUUAUUUCAUCAAUCUGCCUCUCAACCAUUUUGAGUUGGUGGUGCGAUACCCAUACCUAUUUCACCCUAUUUUACCUAUUUGACUAAUUAUCAUUAUUCCACUGGGAGAAAUCCCUUUAAGGAAUGACCUAAGAUUUAUCUUAACUAAGCACAACUCUUAGCAAUGGAUAUCUUGGUUCUC